GGCCGGUGGGAAGGCCCCUCAGAGCAGCCGGCGGAUAUGCCUGACAGAAAGGUAAGGCAACUGCCGACUGACUCUCUGUGCUUGCCAGCGGCUCUGCGCGAGCUGGAGGAAUGCCUUCAGCCCGCAGAGUCGCUUUUACAGGUGAUGCGCGUCCUCCGUAGAGGAUUGAAGGAGCUGGAGGUGAAAGCGGCCGCGUCCGUGAUGACGCUGCGACAGUGGGCGGAUCGGCGCGGCGCUGGAGGCUUCAGCCGGAGGGACGCGGCGGAGACGGGAGGGAGACAACGAUUAUUGAAAGAGUAAAGGGCCAAAAGAAGACCUGAAUUCUAGGUGAUCAAAUACAGGAAAUUCUACCUGGGUCUGAAGACAUCACUUCCGGUUCUGGCUCCAAUGACAUCACUUCCGCUGACCUGCCUUAAAACCCCCAACGACCUCCCUCUGUAAUCAGUUCGAUUGUGGACUCAAUUCUGUACACAACUGUACUACAAACUUGGCCUUUUUGCAGCCAGGAUUCGGGCACAUGGGUGGCUGCCCCAAACCUGUGAGUCAAGUUGUAUCAUUUUCACACACCUUAUGGUUCUUUUCCGCCUUGUGUGGUUCCUCGUAGAAGUAUGGUUUGACAAAGCACCAUUCUAUUCUGGGACAGGCUCUUUGCAUAUGACGUUUGUUCUUUGUGCUUUGAAAAACUUCCUAAUAUGCAGAAAAACACUGAAAUCUUUAACAUACUAGCAGGACACUAACAAAUUUUAAAAACCGGAACUUGGCCUGUGCUAUUGCAUGCAGCAAGAGUCCUUUUAAAAUCAUCACCCAUUGGUAUUUCACA
This is a long non-coding RNA of Erpetoichthys calabaricus (reedfish), 820 nucleotides long. RefSeq lists it as uncharacterized. The transcript is spliced from 3 exons. The record is from RefSeq and is a predicted model, not a curated record. NCBI's taxonomy places the organism in Eukaryota, Metazoa, Chordata, Cladistia, Polypteriformes, Polypteridae.